Molecule: transfer RNA, 73 nt
Filed under: Hofstenia miamia
Lineage: Eukaryota; Metazoa; Xenacoelomorpha; Acoela; Hofsteniidae
Description: tRNA-Val for anticodon AAC
Rfam family: tRNA
About the family: Transfer RNA (tRNA) molecules are approximately 80 nucleotides in length. Their secondary structure includes four short double-helical elements and three loops (D, anti-codon, and T loops).
Source: RNAcentral
GGCACCAUGGUGUAGUGGUUAUCACAUCUGCCUAACACGCUGAAAGUCCCCAGUUCGAACCUGGAUGGUGUCA